CCCUUAGAUGUCCUGGGCCGCACGCGCGCUACACUGACAUGUUCAACAAGCCUCCUAGUUCGACAGGAUUUGGGAAAUCUUUGAACGCAUGUCGUGAUAGGGAUAGAUCAUUGCAAUUAUUGAUCUUGAACGAGGAAUUCCUAGUAAACGCGAGUCAUCAGCUCGCAUUGAUUACGUCCCUGCCCUUUGUACACACCGCCCGUCGCUACUACCGAUUGAAUGGCUUAGUGAGCCUUUGGGACUAGCCGCUUGUACCGGCAACGGGAACGAGUGGCCGGGAACUUAGGCAAACUUGGUCAUUUAGAGGAAGUAAAAGUCGUAACA
RNAcentral lists this ribosomal RNA (324 nucleotides) under uncultured eukaryote. Its description in RNAcentral is "partial 18S ribosomal RNA". It matches the Rfam family "Eukaryotic small subunit ribosomal RNA", at positions 1470 to 1796 of the family's 1831-position model. The record is from RNAcentral.